RNAcentral lists this ribosomal RNA (407 nucleotides) under uncultured prokaryote. Its description in RNAcentral is "bacterial SSU rRNA". It matches the Rfam family "Bacterial small subunit ribosomal RNA", at positions 355 to 776 of the family's 1533-position model. The record is from RNAcentral. RNAcentral also lists the same sequence under 1 other name.
UGGGGGAUAUUGCACAAUGGGGGAAACCCUGAUGCAGCAACGCCGCGUGAAGGAAGAAGGCCUUCGGGUUGUAAACUUUUGUCUUUAGGGAAGAAACAAAUGACGGUACCUAAGGAGGAAGCCACGGCUAACUACGUGCCGGCAGCCGCGGUAAUACGUAGGUGGCAAGCGUUAUCCGGAUUUACUGGGUGUAAAGGGAGCGUAGGCGGGACUUUAAGUCAGAUGUGAAAUGCUGGGGCUCAACCCCAGAGCUGCAUUUGAAACUGGAGUUCUUGAGUGUCGGAGAGGUAAGUGGAAUUCCUAGUGUAGCGGUGAAAUGCGUAGAUAUUAGGAGGAACACCAGUGGCGAAGGCGACUUACUGGACGAUAACUGACGCUGAGGCUCGAAAGUGUGGGGAGCAAACAGG